This 253-nucleotide ribosomal RNA is filed under the name uncultured bacterium. RNAcentral describes it as "partial 16S ribosomal RNA". It matches the Rfam family "Bacterial small subunit ribosomal RNA", at positions 524 to 776 of the family's 1533-position model. The record is from RNAcentral.
GACAGAGGGUGCAAACGUUGCUCGGAAUUACUGGGCGUAAAGCGUGCGUAGGUGGUUUGUUAAGUCUGUUGUGAAAGCCCCGGGCUCAACCUGGGAAUGGCAAUGGAUACUGGCAGGCUAGAGUGCGGUAGAGGGUAGUGGAAUUCCCGGUGUAGCGGUGAAAUGCGUAGAGAUCGGGAGGAACACCAGUGGCGAAGGCGGCUACCUGGACCAGCACUGACACUGAGGCACGAAAGCGUGGGGAGCAAACAGG